This 301-nucleotide ribosomal RNA is filed under the name uncultured bacterium. RNAcentral's name for it is "partial 16S ribosomal RNA". It matches the Rfam family "Bacterial small subunit ribosomal RNA", at positions 509 to 807 of the family's 1533-position model. The record is from RNAcentral.
CAGUCGCCACGGUAAUACGUAGGGUGCAAGCGUUAAUCGGAAUUACUGGGCGUAAAGCGUGCGCAGGCGGUUUUGUAUGACAGAGGUGAAAUCCCCGGGCUCAACCUGGGAACUGCCUUUGUGACUGCAAGGCUGGAGUGCGGCAGAGGGGGAUGGAAUUCCGCGUGUAGCAGUGAAAUGCGUAGAUAUGCGGAGGAACACCGAUGGCGAAGGCAGCCCCCUGGGCCAAUACUGACGCUCAUGCACGAAAGCGUGGGGAGCAAACAGGAUUAGAUACCCGGGUAGUCCCUGUCUCUUAUAC